This 987-nucleotide long non-coding RNA is filed under the name Fragaria vesca (wild strawberry). Its description in RNAcentral is "long non-coding RNA (FVES_LNC002763)". The record is from RNAcentral. Lineage: Eukaryota; Viridiplantae; Streptophyta; Magnoliopsida; Rosales; Rosaceae.
CCUGAGGACUUAAAUCUAGAAUUCCUAGAAGUAAUACAUCAUGAAAUAGAACAUCCUCAAUUAGUUUAGUGACUAAUAAUUGUAUGGAACAUAAGCUUCGAUUCGUUGGCCCCUCUUCACCUCUUGCCGCAUUUGCUGAAUAUUAUCUCAAAUGAAUACAUCACGAUCUUGACGGCCGACCACUGGGACCCUGAAUCUUCAUGUUCAGUUGCUUAGAAGUAAACCAAAAUUUUUAAUGCUUAUCAACCACAUGAUUCAGUAACAAAUCCAACCAAAAAAAUAAUGAAAGAAAGCCUUGGUCUUUCACCUUUGGUCUGUUUGCAAGAUAGAACCUACGAAGCUCAAGAAAAGAUAUAGUGAGGAGACUUUGCAGAGGAUGAAAUAAUCAAAAGCUACGACUCAAGUCACUAAAGAACAUUAGUGACCAGAUGGAUCUCUAUUAUUCCAUCCUCUACAAAGCCUCCUCACUUGAUUUUCAGCUUCUAAAUACUUUACUUCAAGGUGGUUAAACUAUUUGAUUAUAGGAUAUAUGGGAUCUUGCCUCUGCACAAAGUAUGGAAACUUACAGACUUAUGGUGAUCUAGCUCAAAGAACCAUCUUCAGCUACUUCUUUAUAACCAUAUCCUGCGGAUGAACACGAUUGUCAUGUCCAUCGAUCUUCACGUGCCUUGAUGUGGUACGUAUUCACAAGAAAAUUGAUGGUGUUCCGCUAUAUACCAAGGUACUGAGAAAAUGACCAGACUAUGAGCAGGCACGUUCAUUGAGUACUAUGGACUAGAAAUGUCAUGUCCUCUAACGAUUCAUACGUCUUUUCUGAGACCCUAUACGAAUAAACAGCAUAUUUGGAAGCUAGCUUAUCUCCUUUUCAACUUCAUGCGCGCAGCUAGCUCAGAAACAACUGAUAACUGCUAACAUGGUAGACAUGAUAGAAACUCUAACAAAUCUAUCUGCAGAAAGAUGAAAAUACAGAGAGAAGUGAAGAGAAAC